GUGCUUGCUUCGGCAGCACAUAUGCUAAAAUUGGAACGAUACAGAGGAGAUUAGCAUGGCCCUGUGCAAGGAUGACAUGCAAAUUCGUGACGCAUUCCAUAUUAAA
RNAcentral lists this small nuclear RNA (106 nucleotides) under Nannospalax galili (Upper Galilee mountains blind mole rat). The record is from RNAcentral. Lineage: Eukaryota; Metazoa; Chordata; Mammalia; Rodentia; Spalacidae.